GUGAAUCAUCGAAUUUUUGAACGCAAAUUGCACUCUCUGGUAUUCCGGAGAGUAUGCCUGUUUGAGGGUCAGUUUAAAUAAAAAUCGGAGUGUUUGCGGCCUUUCGUGGUGACGCACCGAAUUUGGAUCGGCUUGCCUUCGGUUAAUUGACCUAAAAUUUUGCAUGAUUUUUUUCAAACUCAUUUAAAUGAUUUUGCGUACGUUUGCGAUAUGGAAUACUCGGUUUGGUCAUCCGCAUGAUUUGGCCCUAUAAUUUUUCAUCAUUAUGAUCUC
RNAcentral lists this unclassified non-coding RNA (273 nucleotides) under Glomus sp. RNAcentral describes it as "partial contains 5.8S ribosomal RNA and internal transcribed spacer 2". The stretch from base 1 to 71 matches the Rfam family "5.8S ribosomal RNA", at positions 84 to 154 of the family's 154-position model. Lineage: Eukaryota; Fungi; Glomeromycota; Glomeromycetes; Glomerales; Glomeraceae. The record is from RNAcentral.